GGGGAUGUGGCUCAAGUGGUAGGGCGCUCAUCUAGCAUGUGUGAGGCACUGAGUUCGAUUCUCAGCACCA
Molecule: transfer RNA, 70 nt
Filed under: Ictidomys tridecemlineatus (thirteen-lined ground squirrel)
Lineage: Eukaryota; Metazoa; Chordata; Mammalia; Rodentia; Sciuridae
Description: Spermophilus tridecemlineatus (thirteen-lined ground squirrel) tRNA
Rfam family: tRNA
About the family: Transfer RNA (tRNA) molecules are approximately 80 nucleotides in length. Their secondary structure includes four short double-helical elements and three loops (D, anti-codon, and T loops).
Source: Rfam by way of RNAcentral